This 460-nucleotide ribosomal RNA is filed under the name uncultured bacterium. RNAcentral's name for it is "partial 16S ribosomal RNA". It matches the Rfam family "Bacterial small subunit ribosomal RNA", at positions 338 to 795 of the family's 1533-position model. The record is from RNAcentral.
CCUACGGGAGGCAGCAGUGAGGAAUAUUGGUCAAUGGGCGCGAGCCUGAACCAGCCAAGUAGCGUGAAGGAUGACUGCUCUACGGGUUGUAAACCUCUUUUAUAAAGGAACAAAGGGAGGCACGUGUCCCUUUUUGUAUGUACUUUAUGAAUUAGGAUCGGCUAACUCCGUGCCAGCAGCCGCGGUAAUACGGAGGAUCCGAGCGUUAUCCGGAUUUAUUGGGUUUAAAGGGAGCGUAGACGGGUUGUUAAGUCAGUUGUGAAAGUUUGCGGCUCAACCGUAAGAUUGCAGUUGAUACUGGCAGCCUUGAGUACAGUAGAGGUAGGCGGAAUUCGUGGUGUAGCGGUGAAAUGCUUAGAUAUCACGAAGAACUCCGAUUGCGAAGGCAGCUUACUAAACUGCCACUGACAUUGAGGCUCGAAAGUGUGGGUAUCAAACAGGAUUAGAUACCCUGGUAGUC